UGCCAGCCGCCGCGGUAAUACGAAGGGUGCUAGCGUUGUUCGGAAUUACUGGGCGUAAAGAGCAUGUAGGCGGGUUUGUAAGUCAGAUGUGAAAUCCCAGAGCUCAACUUUGGAACUGCAUUUGAAACUAUAAAUCUUGAAUGCCUGAGGGGUUGGUAGAAUUCCUGGUGUAGGAGUGAAAUCCGUAGAUAUCAGGAGGAAUACCGGAGGCGAAGGCGGCCAACUGGCAGUGCAUUGACGCUGAGGUGCGAAAGCGUGGGGAGCAAACAGGAUUAGAUA
This 279-nucleotide ribosomal RNA is filed under the name uncultured bacterium. Its description in RNAcentral is "partial 16S ribosomal RNA". It matches the Rfam family "Bacterial small subunit ribosomal RNA", at positions 506 to 784 of the family's 1533-position model. The record is from RNAcentral.